This is a long non-coding RNA of Sinocyclocheilus anshuiensis, 247 nucleotides long. RefSeq lists it as uncharacterized. The transcript has 3 exons. Lineage: Eukaryota; Metazoa; Chordata; Actinopteri; Cypriniformes; Cyprinidae. The record is from RefSeq and is a predicted model, not a curated record.
UUUCCAUGAGGCCGAGAGAGGAUGACAUUAAUCUUCAGUACUGUUCUCUGGCACAGCGGUGUCCGGCCAGAUGAUGCCAGCCCACCAUGGUCUUCUGCACAGGGAGCUGUUGGAGGAAAGAGGACUCCUGAUGCUUUGAAGUCGGCGGGGGUCUGCUGAACUGAAGGGGGACAAUAAGCUAUGAAUUCAACAGACCGCUCUUUUGCCUGCCGACUCAGUCAUUUGUUCUCUAACGCGAUUAAACUUU